UAGUUGUAUUAAUUAUGUCUUUAGUUAAAUGCAGCAUCGACUAUGUCGAAUAAAGUUCUAGGUAGAGUUAUGAUAAUGACAUUUUCUACCUAUGUGUCUUGACCAAAUCACGUGCCAGCAGUCGCGGAAAUACGUGGAAGACUAGUGUUAUUCAUCUUUAAUAGGUUUAAAGGGUACUUAGACGGUAAAUUAAGCCCAGAUAAAAAUAAAGGGUACUAAUUAUACUAGAGUUUAAAUGAGAGGGGGGGUGUAGUAGUGGUGUAGAGAUGAAAUUCUGUCAUACCAAGAUGACAGGCAACGGCGCAAGCAACCUUUUAUGUGUAGACUGACGUUAAAGGACGAAGGCUUUGUAUCACCAACAGGAUUAGGUACCCAAGCAGUCUUAGCAGACAAUUCUGAAUGCCAUAGAUAAGAAAAGAUUCUUUUCUCUCUAUCUCUAUUAAUAAAAAGAGAUAGAUGUUAUUUUGUCUAUAAAUGAAAGUGUAAGCAUUCCACCUCAAGAGUAAUGUGGCAACGCAUAAACUGAAAUCAUUAGACCGUUUCUGAAACCAGUAGUGAAGUAU
This 563-nucleotide ribosomal RNA is filed under the name Acarospora scottii. Its description in RNAcentral is "SSU rRNA". It matches the Rfam family "Bacterial small subunit ribosomal RNA", at positions 39 to 940 of the family's 1533-position model. The record is from RNAcentral. Lineage: Eukaryota; Fungi; Ascomycota; Lecanoromycetes; Acarosporales; Acarosporaceae.